RNAcentral lists this ribosomal RNA (520 nucleotides) under Pila pesmei. RNAcentral's name for it is "partial 16S ribosomal RNA". It matches the Rfam family "Bacterial large subunit ribosomal RNA", at positions 1817 to 2597 of the family's 2925-position model. Lineage: Eukaryota; Metazoa; Mollusca; Gastropoda; Architaenioglossa; Ampullariidae. The record is from RNAcentral.
GUCUCUUUGUUUUUAUUUUAUAAAGAGUCUAACCUGCCCAGUGAUAUAUAUUUUAACGGCCGCGGUACUCUGACCGUGCAAAGGUAGCAUAAUCAUUUGCCUUAUAAUUGAAGGCUUGUAUGAAUGGUUUGACGAGAAUUAGCCUGUCUCUUAUAAAUUAAAAUGAAAUUGACUUUUAAGUGUAAAGGCUUAAAUUUUACUAAUAGACAAGAAGACCCUAUUGAGCUUUAAAGAUCUGUAAUAGCAUACGAUGUAUUAAAAUAAGAUUACAAGUUAUUAAAGUUUUUAGUUGGGGCGACUAUUGGAACAAGUGAAACUUCCAGAGUUUUAUAUUUAAUAUUAGUUUAUUUAAAUUGAUCCAAAAUGUUUUGAUUAAUAGAAUAAGUUACCAUAGGGAUAACAGCAUAAUCUAUCUUAAGAGUUCUAAUCGAAAGAAAGGUUUGUGACCUCGAUGUUGGAUUAAAAUAUCCUAAGGGUGUAGAAGUUCUUAAGGGUUGGUCUGUUCGACCAUUAAAAUUUU